GGACAUAGCUCAGCGGUAAGGCAGCUGCUUUGCAUGAAGAAGGUCCCAGGUUCAAGCCUUGGCAUGACCU
Molecule: non-coding RNA, 70 nt
Organism: Podarcis lilfordi (Lilford's wall lizard)
Lineage: Eukaryota; Metazoa; Chordata; Lepidosauria; Squamata; Lacertidae
Source: the annotation of a GenBank genome assembly